This 542-nucleotide unclassified non-coding RNA is filed under the name Hevea brasiliensis (rubber tree). Lineage: Eukaryota; Viridiplantae; Streptophyta; Magnoliopsida; Malpighiales; Euphorbiaceae. The record is from RNAcentral.
AUCUGUAACCAUAUACAUCUACCUAUAGCAGGGUGCAAAAAUAAACAGUCAGAAGAAGAAAAAUAUCAAAAAGUAAAUAAAAAAUUAUAGUACUUGUACUAUGCUGUUGACUUGAGAAUAAUUAGCGAAUGAAUGAAGCCUAAGUUUGGUUUGAGUGAUUGUGUACGAGGGGUUUUGAAGUUAUGGAGAAGUUGUGAUCCAUAAGUAAGAAAAAUGAAAAUAGUCUAUCGAUCUAAUUUUAAAGACGUAAUAAAUUUUUCAUGGUUUCAUGCUUAUGCUGCAAUUUAGUUCCUUGCAAGAUCAACCAAAUUAAUUUGUCGGUCAAACCUUAAAAUUUGAUUUUGAUGCAUGUCAUGUUCAUCUAUAAUCUGAUUAGAAUGCAAUAAUCUAGAAGCACUAAAGUGGGGGUAUUGAGAACAAAAUUGUCAAAGAAAAUCUAAUGAAAUGAAAGUAAAGACAAUCAUAUAAAGCAUUCGAUUAUUAUCUCUUAGGAAAUCUAAGAACCUGCCAUUAGUUUAGUAUCAGAAAGACUUCAAGUUUAG